This 585-nucleotide ribosomal RNA is filed under the name uncultured bacterium. RNAcentral's name for it is "partial 16S ribosomal RNA". It matches the Rfam family "Bacterial small subunit ribosomal RNA", at positions 355 to 1375 of the family's 1533-position model. The record is from RNAcentral.
UGGGGAAUUUUGGACAAUGGGCGAAAGCCUGAUCCAGCCAUGCCGCGUGCAGGAUGAAGGCCUUCGGGUUGUAAACUGCUUUUGUACGGAACGAAAAGCCUCUUUCUAAUAAAGAGGGGUCAUGACGGUACCGUAAGAAUAAGCACCGGCUAACUACGUGCCAGCAGCCGCGGUAAUACGUAGGGUGCAAGCGUUAAUCGGAAUUACUGGGCGUAAAGCGUGCGCAGGCGGUUUUGUAAGACAGAGGUGAAAUCCCCGGGCUCAACCUGGGAACUGCCUUUGUGACUGCAAGGCUGGAGUGCGGCAGAGGGGGAUGGAAUUCCGCGUGUAGCAGUGAAAUGCGUAGAUAUGCGGAGGAACACCGAUGGCGAAGGCAAUCCCCUGGGCCUGCACUGACGCUCAUGCACGAAAGCGUGGGGAGCAAACAGGAUUAGAUACCCUGGUAGUCCACGCCCUAAACGAUGUCAACUGGUUGUUGGGUCUUCACUGACUCAGUAACGAAGCUAACGCGUGAAGUUGACCGCCUGGGGAGUACGGCCGCAAGGUUGAAACUUAAAGGAAUUGACGGGGUCAUAGCUGUUUCCU